Molecule: ribosomal RNA, 425 nt
Filed under: uncultured bacterium
Lineage: Bacteria
Description: bacterial SSU rRNA
Rfam family: Bacterial small subunit ribosomal RNA
Source: RNAcentral
GGGGAAUUUUGGACAAUGGGCGAAAGCCUGAUCCAGCCAUUCCGCGUGCAGGAUGAAGGCCCUCGGGUUGUAAACUGCUUUUGUACAGAACGAAAAAGCUCUGGCUAAUACCUGGAGUCCAUGACGGUACUGUAAGAAUAAGCACCGGCUAACUACGUGCCAGCAGCCGCGGUAAUACGUAGGGUGCAAGCGUUAAUCGGAAUUACUGGGCGUAAAGCGUGCGCAGGCGGUUUUGUAAGACAGAGGUGAAAUCCCCGGGCUCAACCUGGGAACUGCCUUUGUGACUGCAAGGCUGGAGUGCGGCAGAGGGGGAUGGAAUUCCGCGUGUAGCAGUGAAAUGCGUAGAUAUGCGGAGGAACACCGAUGGCGAAGGCAAUCCCCUGGGCCUGCACUGACGCUCAUGCACGAAAGCGUGGGGAGCAAAC